This 1359-nucleotide ribosomal RNA is filed under the name Prohamitermes mirabilis. RNAcentral's name for it is "16S ribosomal RNA". The stretch from base 1054 to 1213 matches the Rfam family "Bacterial large subunit ribosomal RNA", at positions 2473 to 2632 of the family's 2925-position model. Lineage: Eukaryota; Metazoa; Arthropoda; Insecta; Blattodea; Termitidae. The record is from RNAcentral.
GUUGAUUUUCUUGUUGUUUCUUUGUUAGUGUUUUCUUAUUUAUUAUUGAAAAAUCAUUGUGGUUAUUGUAUUUUGUGAUUUAAUUUUUUGUACGAUAGUUUAUUUUUACCGUAGGGGAUUGAUUUGAAAGUAUUUUUUGGAAGUAGAUUUUGUUUGUCGUACCUUGUGUAUCAGGGUUCAUUGAAUUUUAUUAUUUAUUUUUAUUUUCCGAUUUUGAAGGAGUUAAUGGUUUAUGUUAGUUACUGUUUCAUCAGUAUUAAUAAUAGGUUGUUGGUAGUGAAAUGUUAUUCGUCUUUAAGGGUUUCUGGUUUUUCAAGAAAUGAAUUUAAUUCAUGUAUUUUAUUUAAUUUCUUUUGUUGGUUUAUUUAUUUUUAUUUUAUGCUAAGAUUAAGGGGGAUUAGCUUCUUAUUUUACUGUUAUAAUUUCGGGUUUCAAUUGAGUCUUGUGGAUUUUAUAGUGAUUUUCAAUUUGAUUAUGUUAAAAUUUUGUUUGUUGAUUUAUUUAUUUUCUUUUAAUUUAAUUUAUUUAUUGAAAUGUUUGCUUUAUCUUGGUUUGUAUUUUAAUUAUUGUGUAAUUAGUAAAUUUUGCUUUUAUAGUGUUUAUUUAGGUGUUAGUUUCUUUUUAGGAAUUCGGCAAAAUUUAUAUGCCCGCCUGUUUAACAAAAACAUCUUUUCUUGUUAGUUUUUGAAGUAUGGCCUGCCCACUGACAGUGUUGAAGGGCCGCGGUAUUUUGACCGUGCAAAGGUAGCAUAAUCAUUAGUUCUUUAAUUGUGAUCUGGUAUGAAUGGCUUGACGAGGUAUAAGCUGUCUUGGAAGUAUUGUUGUUUGAAUUUGGUUUUUGAGUUAAAAUUCUUAAAUGUUUUUAUGGGACGAGAAGACCCUAUAGAGUUUAAUAUUUUUCUUAUUAUGUUAUUUGUUUGUUUAUUAUUUUUAGUGGGUUAAGUAUUUUGUUGGGGUGAUGGGAGGAAUUUAUUUAACUCCUCUUUAUUUUUGUAUAUUUAUGUAUAUAUUUUUGAUCCAUUUAUUUUGAUUAUAAGAUUAAAUUACCUUAGGGAUAACAGCGUUAUCUUCCCUGAGAGUUCUUAUUGGCGGGGAGGUUUGCGACCUCGAUGUUGGAUUAAGGUGAAUUUUCGGUGCAGGAGCUGGAGUGAUUGGGUCUGUUCGACCUUUAAAACCUUACAUGAUCUGAGUUCAGACCGGCGUGAGCCAGGUUGGUUUCUAUCUAUAAUUGGAUUUUAUAUCUUAGUACGAGAGGACCGGAUAUUUGGAAUAAUUUUAUUAUUGUGAUGAUUUUCAUUAAUUGUUUACUAUUUUGGCAGAUAAGUGCAUUGGAUUUAGAAUCUAUUAAUGUAAAGUUUU